AUUGAACGCUGGCGGCAUGCUUUACACAUGCAAGUCGAGCGGCAGCGCGGGGGCAACCCUGGCGGCGAGCGGCGAACGGGUGAGUAACGCAUCGGAACGUAUCCUGUAGUGGGGAAUAACUCAUCGAAAGGUGAGCUAAUACCGCAUAAGCUCUGAGGAGGAAAGCGGGGGGACCGAAAGGGCCUCGCGCUGCAGGAGCGGCCGAUGUCCGAUUAGCUAGUUGGUGAGGUAAAGGCGUCACCAAGGCGACGAUCGGUAGCUGGUCUGAGAGGAUGAUCAGCCACACUGGGACUGAGACACGGCCCAGACUCUACGGGAGGCAGCAGUGGGGAAG
RNAcentral lists this ribosomal RNA (334 nucleotides) under uncultured bacterium. Its description in RNAcentral is "bacterial SSU rRNA". It matches the Rfam family "Bacterial small subunit ribosomal RNA", at positions 29 to 362 of the family's 1533-position model. The record is from RNAcentral.